Molecule: ribosomal RNA, 253 nt
Filed under: uncultured bacterium
Lineage: Bacteria
Description: partial 16S ribosomal RNA
Rfam family: Bacterial small subunit ribosomal RNA
Source: RNAcentral
UACGUAGGGUGCAAGCGUUGUCCGGAAUUACUGGGCGUAAAGCGUGCGUAGACGGCUAUCUAAGUCGGGUGUGAAAGCCCCGGGCUCAACCUGGGAAUUGCAUUCGAGACUGAAUAGCUAGGGUACGGUAGAGGGAAGUGGAAUUUCCGGUGUAGCGGUGAAAUGCGUAGAUAUCGGAAGGAACAUCAGUGGCGAAAGCGACUUCCUGGACCAGUACCGACGUUCAGGCACGAAAGCGUGGGGAGCAAACAGG